Long non-coding RNA from Ornithodoros turicata, 10255 nucleotides. RefSeq lists it as uncharacterized. The transcript is spliced from 2 exons. The record is from RefSeq and is a predicted model, not a curated record. NCBI's taxonomy places the organism in Eukaryota, Metazoa, Arthropoda, Arachnida, Ixodida, Argasidae.
CCCAAUAGAAGUGCAAAGCAUCGGUUGUCGAUAAUAUGCCUCUGGCACCAUGAUACAACGGGUUUCGCUCAUUUGAAAGGGCUCUGCUGCCUCCUCUUCCGAAUUUCGCGGUUGCCUUUGUUGAAAUCCCAGUAGAUGGGCAGAGCAUCAAUCGUCCAUAAUAUAUGCCUCGGGCACCAUGAUACAACUGGUUUCGACCAUUUCAAAGGGCUCUGCUGCCUCCUCUUCCGAAUUUCGCGGUUCCCUUUGUUACAAUCUCAGUGGAAGGGCAAACGGUCAGUCGAUAAUAUGCCUCUUGCGCCAUGAUAUAAGAGGUUUCGCCCAUUUCAAAGGGCUUUACUUUCUCCUUUUCCGAAUUUCGCUGUCUCCUUUGUUGAAAUCCCAGUGAAAGGCUAAAGCAUUAAUCGUUGAUAAUAUGCAUUUUGCACCAUGAUACAAGGGGGUAAAUUUACGAUGAUCAUUAAGUGGAGUUAAGUUUAUUCUUUAGAGCAAGUGAUUCAGACGGUUGCUUGUUUAAAUCACGUUCGGGUCACCAAAUAUAGAGAAACACCAUCUCCUCUACAGUUCAUUCAGUGGGUGAUGCAAGUACUAAUUCACUGGCAUUCACCCACCAGGCACUUUCUUUUUGUAGUAAACAUGUUGUAGAUUAUUGUUGUUGUUGUUUUUCUCUCUUUCUUGCCAGUCUAUUUCCGAGCACAAAAUGCUAUGCAUUCCUAUUAUUUGAUUUCUAAUACAAGAGCCACAAAAUGUUUUCAUAAUCUUAUGAAAAGAACAAUCACAUUCAGUGAUCAUUCACGGGGGUGUUCACCCUAGGACUUCUGUCUCUUUGGCCUUUCCACUUCGGGCUUUGACAGUUCGGCGUUUCGAUUUUUCGGCCUUUUGAUAGUUCGGCGUCAUCAUUUUCGGCCUUUCGGUAGGCUUCCGGAUGGACAAGCGUGAGAGACUAACUUUUCCGACCCAGUUUCUGCACUCCAUAAGAGUAUAGUUCCGGUUUCGGCGCAUCACGAUUUGACGAUUUAUAUCUCAAAGUAUGUGCUUGUGAAUUCAAAUAAUGAUUGCCUCUGGUUCUGCUGUCUUAUAUUUUCCUACAAACAAAUAAUUAAAAAGGUGAUUUUUUUCCCUUGUGGUGUGGUCAAGAUUUCUUUUAUUAGUGUCAGGCGUGAGAUGGACCGUGAGUACGAGCCCUGUGCUUUAAUGAACUUUAGCUUUCUUGUCGCCCAUAUGCUUUCCCACAGGAUGUCCGCAUAAACCAGUUUCAAAAACGGCAUCUGAGUAGCUUUUGUAGCUUUUUUUUUUAUUACAAAAUCUAAAAGAUAAAAAUGAACACCCUGUGUACAUUCUAGAUGGACAAAAAGGUCGUUCAGGGUGCGCGCGAUAUGUGCAAAGCGGAUGUCCUGGCGAGGUAAAUCGAAACUGGAUAGCACUGCAGAUUGGAUGUAGUUUAUAAAGUUUGGACUUUUGGCAGUACCCUUGGAUGUCCCGAUCAGAGCCGUCUCUGGUCCAGAUUUCAGUCUAUGGACAUCUGGUGGAUAUUCGCAGGACUGUGAUGUGUUACUGGGGAUGUAGUCAUCCACUGUAGAGAUGGCUAAACAUCGUAAGACGAGACAAAAUGAUUGUUAUUUUACUGAAUAAUAUAUUAGGAUAUUUAUUUGCAUCAGAGUCAUGUACAACGAGAAAGAUAUGGCCACAUCAUAGAUAAGAGCAAAAAAUCUGCAUGGCUACUAUGCACAUGCCAGUACGAAUAAUACUACGUGACAAUUUUUACUUUGGUUAUCAACAUUAUCUCCUAAGUGAAACAGAAGCUCGCAAAUUAUAGAGCAACUGUUUCGAACAUGAAAGUGAAUAACAGUGGUUCAAGUUUCAAUUUGAAAUGUUCAAACAGUGAAAUAGGAAUAAGUCAAGCUAAAUGCAACAAUUCCUAAUAGCCAGAAAAAUAUUAAGUACCUGUCUGAACACACGGCUCUUUCUUUAAAGCUGAACAUCUUCAAAUUUUUUUCAAAUAAUUCUACCGGUUGAAUUUUUUCGCAUCACGAGUCCCAACCAGACCGAACUUACGAGAACUCUAGAGAAAAAAUAAAUAAAAGGAAAAGAAAACUCCAAGAUGAAAAAAGUGUUGCUGAGUUCAACACUUUAUCUGAAUCUUCCACUGGAGAUCACAAAAAUAUUUUGUAUCAACAUCAACAAAUUACUUUGCAGGCAUACGAUACAAAAAUAGAAUCAAUCAAUCAUCAUGAACACUGAGACAGGUCUCCACUUUAGUACCAUAUCUAAAUAUUCUCCGCAUAUCGUCGUUUAACGCCACGCUGUUAGCGAUUAAAGCUCCAAAUUUACAGAAAGCCAAAUCACUCUGCUUGCGUGAACUGCAAUAUUCAAUUAUCAGAAAUAUACCAGUGGCCAGUCUUGGGUAGUAACUUGGAACCGUGACUACAACUGUAACAACUUUUGUUAAAAGUAGUUGUAAUUAUGACAUCUCUCGGAGUUUAAGGAGUUCUGGGACAGGGAAGGAUGUUUGCACGCUCUCGAAGACUGGACAAUACAAGUGUUAGAAGAAUUAAGUGAUUUUUCGUUUCUUAAAAAGUAACCGUAAAGUAACUGUAGCUUUAUCUGGUUUCAUUUCAAAAAGUUAUAGCUAUAACUUACUCAUGACUGCCACUGGGGUAGCCAACAGUGGGCACCACAUGAAACUACUGCAUUGUACUACAUAACAGUAGUAGUCAUACUAUGUAUGUGCUAUAAAUGUAAAGCUAUGAACGGAGAUGACAUGGUAGCACUAUGCACGGUGCAUAACAAGAAGUUGCGUUUUACUAAAGCUGUACAGCUUUUGCCUACUCACAUCUAAUAUAAUUUUGAACAGCUAGUUUCAAAGUUAAUCUUAGUCAUUAAUAAAAAUGUGCCGGUGGUUCAAAUUAGAAAAUUGUAGUCCAAAGAUCUGCAAAAACAGAUACUGCAGCGAGCUCACAUGGUCAAUUAGGACGUGGAAAAAAUGCAAAAUCUCUGAGCAACCCACAGAGUUGCAUUUUAGACAGGGCCACCUUUUUCUUCUGUGGUUUUUACAGAUUGGAAGGGCUUUGAUCUACAACUUUUUAAUUUAUACCACUGAAACAUUUUUAUUCAUUAAUUUGAUUAAUUUUGUAAACUCAUUAAUACUAGUGCUGAAAUUAUAUAACUAGUAUUAAUGAUUAUAUUAAUGAGUAGGACAUAUAUCACUAAUAAGGAAAAACUCAACCUGGAUUGAUAAAAAUUUUGGCCACCCUGUAUAUGUGUGAUAUUGGGAUGUAUAAUGUAUGCAGUGUGUAGUUUCACUACAUACAUAAUAUGUGGUAGUACGACAUAAUACUAGUAUUACCAUUAUGCGUGUGGCAUGCAUAUUGUACUAUGCACUAUGCCGCUAAUAUGUGGCACGUAUGAAGUAAUAUGUAUUUCAUCACUAUGUGCUAGUGUAUACAUGCAGAGAAGGAAAUAGGGGUAAGGGAAAAGGAGGAGGAAUAAAUGUUUUAAGGAGAACGUUCUGUUCUGGGACGGAGGAUAAUACACUGUGUCCUGUCAUUCUCUGACGAGAACACUACAAUACAUAAUAUGCAUAGUACUACAUAGUAUUACUAGCAUUAAGUGCAUGGUAUGUGCAGAGUACAAUGCAGCAUAGCAGCACGACGUGUGUAGUAUAUAUGUGGCACUAUGUACAUAACAUAUCAUAGUACGACACAGUAGUUUCUUGUGAUGAUCAGCACGGGUCAGCUAAUGUACAUAAACUGAAAAUGCUUAGCAUGAUAGUAAUUGGGAGUGGAUUUACAUGAAGUGAAACUAGCAUCAAACUAAAGCUGUAUCCACAGAAACACUAAGGACAAGUACUUUCACAUUGAUUUUCUUGAAACAGUCAUUGAAGCGGAAUAAAACAUGCAUUUUAAAAUUACACAUCCUUUGGUAGAAGCAAAUCACAUGCCUUAUGUAGGACACAGUUUGUCACAUUUGCAUAAAAUCAAGUAUGUAAGCCACCAUAAAAUUAGUCACGCACAAUUUGUACGAUCAUUAGACCUAAAUAGGGACUAGUAAACUUGGAGAAUUCUCCAUGUUUGAGCAUUUUGUACAAACAUCCACACAGUGGCAAUUGACGCAGUUUAAAUAAAUUGUACGAUAAUACACACUUACGCUAGCUGUUGCUCACAAAUUGCAAAAAACGAUAACGUUUUUUUGCGAGCAAAUAAAGAAGUUGUUGAAGAGGAAACAACUGCUCCUCAUAAAAAGUGAAAUAUGAAUGCUCAGAGACAUUAAUAUUUAAGGCUUUUUGUUCUUAUGGCUGUCUGUAUGCAUAAACAGUAUCUAAAACCAUCCCAACAUGUCUGAAACUGCAAUUAGAAAGAGAGCUCAUGAGUAGAGGUGUGCAUGUAGAAGUGUGCAGAGAAGUAAAUUUGUAUCCGCAACCCCUGAUGCUGGUGGACACCGUUUUCUACUCACAAUUAACAAAAUCGGAUGAAACAAACAAAUCAGAAAAGGGAACGACUGUCAAUUCUGAUCCCUCCUACACUGUCAGGUUCUGUUUUUGGAGACUGACAUGAUAACACAUGUACAAGAAGUGAGACAGGAACAGAUGUUCGCUCCCUGUCUCAGUAGUGGCGUUAUUUCAUGCUGUACCAAUAAGCCCAGUCUUCUACAUUGCUCAGUUAGUACAAUCUAAUCGUGAUGCCGUGAGAUGCCCCAACAGAGAUGAGUUGAAAGGAACGACACACAUUUCCACAAACGCGUGCUGUUUUGCGUUUUGUUCAGUGUCGAAUUUGUCAGCUAUUUAAGUGAGAGCUACAGGUGCACCGUUCUCUUCACCGUGGGUUAUGUAAAAAAAGAUAACUUCUUGGGGGUGUUUUUCUCCAUGAACCCUGGAGGAAAUGCAAAAAUUAAUGAGUAAUCAGGGUAGCAAAAGUUUAGUUUAGGGGCUGCGGGCAACUCAGGUUUUCCCGCACGAUCCGCUGUCACACUGCGGGUGCACCCACAUUUUACCCACAUUUAUAUUGAAUAUCUACCCGCAAAGCUGCACGGGUAUCUGCGGGUAACCGCGGGUGUACCCACACACCUCUACUCAUGAGGGUGUUUUGACAUAAAAUGCACAUUUUGCUCAUCGCUUCGCAGUUGACAACCAUAGUUGCAUGACGAAGCCAAUCGUUCGUUCUGGAGACAUCAAAAGCGACUCAUUAAAUCUGGCAACCUGAAUCUGAUGUACGGGUAGGCUGGCAUAACAUUAGAGGCGUGCGAUACUAAGCUUUGACUGCAAAGACAAACAGCUGAGCUGUGCUCUACUUGCUCCAAAGGGUGCAAAUCAAGUAUAUGACAAGACCCCACACAGUGUAAAUUCAUUAUAAACUGAGCCAUUUUCUGCAACAAUGUUUCAUCCUGAACACUGUUCUACAUUCAAUUCUUUGAUCAUUUAAACCUACAUAAAUGCAAGUUGACUGUUCAGCACCAUCUGAGCUAUCUUCAUAAUUAUCCCUCGCAUACAUUCACAAAACAUACAGUAAGUUUAAAUCUUCAGGUGAGAAUCUGGAGUGCACCAGUCUGAGAAAAAUGUCAUACCAUCUGGUUGUUGACCAAGAAAGGUGUUUGCCAAGUGCGACCUAGGAGUUGAACACUCAACGACUGAUUUUUUUUUUCUGGGAGCUGUUACGCAUCCACAUACUAGCUUGCCUGCUACUUCCGGACAUAAUCCAAUAUUACCUGUACAUGUAGAUGAGUAAUAUCUUGGUCAAGUUUGUUCAAGUCAAGUUUGCCUAGCAUGCUAGGGAAACUUGACGUCUUUAAAAGAAGCAUCAACAACACGACACCCUCGCUUGGCAACACUUUCGCCACAUACUCCCAAACACAUAACAACUACGCAAAAUCCCCGAUUUCAAAAUCAGUCUCUUAACUGGCAUGUUGGGAGACAAAUGCCUGUACCAAGUUUAAAGUCUGUCAAAAAGUUUCCUACAACUUAAAUGCAGUACUGGGCGUGGUCCUACAACACAUCUACACCAUGUAUCGUAUUGUAUAGCGCCACAUUUCUGCAGGCAGUAAACAAAGGCGUAUUUUGCAACCUGCCAGCACAAUUUGUGAUGCGCAAGGUAUCUUCAAUAUAAUGCUGUUUGGUUACAAUAAAUACAAAAUACUGGCAAACAACUGUGCCAACAAGGGCAAAAUUUUUCAUCGGUUGGGCGAGCUAUUACAGAUAAUGACAGAGUAAUGCAUACGCAUCUAAAAAGAAAGUGUCACAUAAAUUGAAGAUUACUCGCAUGGGACACAAAAUUUGCCACCAAAACUUGUUCGUUAUCGCAAAAGUUGUCCGUCGUGCACCCAGCUCUACUGGAAAACGUCCAGUGGGUACACUUAUGUGACCAUAAAAAAAGUGCCUCUUGCGAAGCUUCUCUGUACAUUGUAAGAACAAGAAUACUACAACCUCUCCUCUAGGACAUUUCCCCCGUGUUGGUGGCUUAUAGCUGACCAGCAAGGGGGAUUCUCACGUCACAAUAUGAACAAAAACAGACAACAACAUCCUUUGGCUUCAAAAACUGGCAUCACAUGCACAAGGUGCAAUUUAUAAUGCAAGUCGUCCUCAUGGUGAAUAAUUUUCAUUUUGUUUGCCAGGUGCUGCCUGUCUUGUCCUCUGUAUGUGUUUGAAAAAAAGAAAAAGAAAAAGAAAGAAAGGAGAAAGUGGUGAUGAAGAAAUAUACGUCAUUUUUGGCAAAACUAGGCACAUACAAAAGCCAUUUUGACAGGAAAAGCGCUGCACGGAAUACCGCUGUGCAUGGUGUCUGGUGCACAGCAUCAUGUAUGGGUUGUGACACUCUGAUAGGUGUGCUUCAUUACACUGUGUGUAUUGAGGAAAAAAAAAAGAAUUCUUUUUCAACGUGUCAUAUCUACUUGGCGAGAUAUAAACCCUUUAACAGACAUACUCAUCAAGCUCUGACAUCUAGAGCUCCAGCCAUUUCCACUGGUGCCCCUCUUGGGCUUCCUUUCUAGCGGAGACGCUUGAGUUUUGGUAUUUGCGGUGCCGUGUUUUCUACGCUAUGUCUGUUACCCCCUUUGCUGUAAAACUUGGAAUUCAGGCUCACAUUGACGCAAAUUUUACGUUUAUCCGGAAUAACUAGAGACGAGGUGUCGCAACCCCCUGGUGUGCAGGGGUGGAAGUGAGGCCUCAACUUUUGGAGCUGCAAUUGGAACACAAAAAAAAUCUGGUUUUGGAGAAGGCUCGGUGUUUUGGAUCUCACACGGAGAGAUUUUGUAGCGGAAACAUUUUUCUAUCCAGACAAACUAGAGGCAAACCUGAAAUGGCUCAUACCCUGCUCUAAGUACAAGGUCUCGAGCCUACCAAAUGAAGUUUAAAAUCCAGCAGCAAAUCCGUUACGCACCUUGGACGAGCUACGCUCACCCAAAUGUCUUGGCUGCCAAUUUUUCUUCCAUCUUACCCCUUUUUUAUGUCUGGUAAGUUGCUCACAGCAGACCUUCUUUUAGGCGCUCGUUUGGAAGUGCAUCUUCAGCAAAGACGAGACAUGUUGGCAGCCCCUUGCUUCUCGCCUUGUCUCUCAGAGAAACUUGUCUCUCCUGCUCUUGUCUCUCUCUGCUAAGAAACACAUUUGGCCAAAUGGGCUUAUCUGCAGCUUCAGUCUUGAAAUGUUACCUGCUGGAAGCAAUGAACAAAAGCUUUUUCCUUCCAUUUUGGAAAUUUAACCCGGAAGCAUCAUCAAAAAAGGAAUGUAGCAGCGUGUAAUGGAAUCUGCAAAAGCCUGAAUACGGUUUCCACUUUUGAUGUGGUUAUGUGUGCGUUAGUUGAAAGUUCUUAAGAUGGAGACUGUUUCAACAUUUUCGCUUACUUUUGCUCACUAUUCUAUGCUAUCAAAAAAAAAGACAAUCAAGAAGAAGUACAUCAAGAAGGAGGAAGGGAUAUUGACGGAGCAACUAAAGUGGCUUGACUGAGAUUGUAUUGUAUUGAACUGUAGUUUCCAACAUCUGGUUACCAGUUGGAGUCUAAAACUCGCAAGAACUGUGGUACGUUUGCUAAAAUCAUGACGGUUUGACGACCGAAGGCACGGUUUUGUCACCAAUGCGUUGCAAGUUGGAGCAGCACUUCCACCCCUGAGUGUAACAUGCAGAAUAAUCAUGUUGCAGAUGUGUUCAUAAAGCACAUACUUUUCUUGCUGUCUGGUUGUGUGCUGGGCACACAUCGUACCAGUUGCAUUCCUGUGCAUGAAAAAAAGUCUAAAAUGCAGCUUUAUCUUUGUGGCCAUCGCAAACAUUUUUAAAGCGUAUGUAAGCACGAGCUCUUGGGCUGCUCAUCAACUACUUCCUGGACUUGUUUUGAUUUGUCAAUUCAACAGUUCAGAACUUUUCAACUUUUCAAAAACCCAGUGGUUCCUGAUCGACAAUCCACUCGGUGCUUUGAUAUCUGGCACUUUUGAGAAGAAAGUGGUGGUGGGGGAACUCUAUAAAAAAAAAUCACUAAAAAUAUUUUCCUCAAUGUAUCGUUACUGGUAGAACCUCAACAUCAUCUUUUUUUUUCAGCACCAAGGAAGCACCGUUUUCUGACGGGGGAAACUAUUUUAUAAAUCUCAAAGCUGUCUUACGAGGGCAGACCCCCAGCUUUCACAACAGGCAGAGAUCUUAGCAGGAUCUUGGGAUGUUCUGUAGAAGGGGCUCAUAUAAAAUAUAAUGUGAGCAAGAAUCUUUGGGAUUACCAAAGUCAGACAUUACAAUUCACCCACUUGCCUCGUAACAAUCUUGGUACUAGUAUCAGAAUUUUUUUUUACAGUGUUCUAACAACUUUUCAGGGUGACACCCUCCUGCCAUCAUGAUCGCUACCGCAGCUGCUCUUCACAUUGUAGCACAUAAAUUCUAGCGAGACAAAGAGCAAGAAACACUUGCCUCAUUGUUUUUUACAUUCCACACUUCAGUUGUCGUCUUCAGGUUCAAGCGCGCAGAUGACAGACUUGACGAAGGCCGCGGCGGCAAGUGCAGAGUAUGGCUGCCAAUCCUUCUUCUUGCUUCCAUCUUUGUAGUCUGCAAUGCCGCGCACAAACAUGUAGUGGUCUUUCCGGCUGCCGCAGAUGGAAUCCGCAACAGUGUUGAAACCAGUGUCCAGCGCCACAAUGCCAUGCUCUUCCGCGAAAGCGUGUCGAGCUCCAUCCUCCCUUCCCAGCAGCCCAUAUCCCGAUCCAACGGCACCAAAGUGAACUACCGGACUUCCUGGGACCCUGAUGUUGGACUCUCCGGUUGGCUCGCUCGGGUGCGCCACCUCGAUGACGUCUUUCCCUCCGAUGGACAUGUAGAGGCGGUCCGUCUCCGGAGGUGGCCUGUUGAAGUCUGAUUCUUGGUCCGACAAAGCCUUUGGAAUGAGCACAAAGUGGUAAAGGAAGCAAUCCUCAGCCGAUGUAUGCUAAAGUGGUCAUGUGCGGUUACAUUUCACUGUCCAUCCUUGGAAGCCUUCUGCGAGUGCUUCAUCAUUAUGAAGAUGUCACAGCCGAAGCAGUGCAAGGCAGUCACACUGCAACGCAACUGAAUGUGAAACAUUCAUCGCAACGUCUUUUUGAUGCCAAGUGAUUCCACCUCUCCAUGAUUUUUUUUUUAAUGUGAAGUGUGAUUUUGUGUAAUUACAGUUCAUUACAUUGAAAUUUCAGCACUGCACAAAUCUUGAUUUUCCCCCCAGAGUUUAAGGCGUGAAAAUUAAAAGAUUGACUUUGCGGAGACGGCACACCAGUGGAUGGCAAUUUUUGAAACAAAGAUUUUGGUAAUGGUGAUCUAGAAAUUUCUUAAACUGCAUGAGGUGAUGAAAAGCGUGACUACUUGUAGCAGGCGAAUGGUGCGUAACAUUUGCCAAAAUCUGAGUGUUGUGUCAAGCCCUGACGAUCCAAGAAACGCCGACAUGUGCUGAGGAUCUAUGGCUAUAACUAGAACCCAGAUAGCCCAUUUCAAGUUUUCUCUGCAUGUAGACAAUAUCCAGUAGAUAGAAGUAUCCUACCAGUCAUUGCUCUCUCACAACAUUUGCUAGGAAGUGGUGCAGGUUUUAUGCAGAAACUAAUACUAAGUUUUGCCUGUGUGUAUGAAAGAGUAGAUAACCAAUUAAUCAAUGUUUUUAUGUAUUUUGGUCAUUGCAGUGAAAGGAAAAGACAUAAAAAAAGGAGGUGAUGCAAGAUGGCACUUUGAUCAUAACAUAUUACGAGCAUGCUUUCGGUUAUCUGAUGCUAGUGUCUAAGAACCACGUUGUACCACUGUCAAUCAUCAAUAAAAAUAUUUUCACACAACA